RNAcentral lists this ribosomal RNA (435 nucleotides) under uncultured bacterium. Its description in RNAcentral is "bacterial SSU rRNA". It matches the Rfam family "Bacterial small subunit ribosomal RNA", at positions 29 to 507 of the family's 1533-position model. The record is from RNAcentral.
AGCGAACGCUGGCGGCAGGCUUAACACAUGCAAGUCGAGCGGGCCCUUCGGGGGUCAGCGGCGGACGGGUGAGUAACGCGUGGGAACGUGCCUUCUGGUCUGGAAUAACCCUGGGAAACUAGGGCUAAUACCGGAUACGCCCUUUUGGGGAAAGGUUUUACUGCCGGAAGAUCGGCCCGCGUCUGAUUAGCUAGUUGGUGGGGUAACGGCCUACCAAGGCGACGAUCAGUAGCUGGUCUGAGAGGAUGAUCAGCCACACUGGGACUGAGACACGGCCCAGACUCCUACGGGAGGCAGCAGUGGGGAAUAUUGGACAAUGGGCGCAAGCCUGAUCCAGCCAUGCCGCGUGAGUGAUGAAGGCCUUAGGGUUGUAAAGCUCUUUUAUCCGGGACGAUAAUGACGGUACCGGAGGAAUAAGCCCCGGCUAACUUCGUG